AUUGAACGCUGGCGGUAGGCCUAACACAUGCAAGUCGAACGCGAAAGUCCUUCGGGAUGAGUAGAGUGGCGGACGGGUGAGUAACGCGUAGGAAUCUAUCCUGUAGUGGGGGAGUAACGUUUCGAAAGGAACGCUAAUACCGCAUACGCCCCAAGGGGGAAAGCGGGGGAUCUUCGGACCUCGUGCUAUAGGAGGAGCCUGCGUCGGAUUAGCUAGUUGGUGAGGUAAAGGCUCACCAAGGCGACGAUCCGUAGCUGGUCUGAGAGGAUGAUCAGCCACACCGGAACUGAGACACGGUCCGGACUCCUACGGGAGGCAGCAGUGGGGAAUAUUGCGCAAUGGGCGAAAGCCUGACGCAGCCAUACCGCGUGUGUGAAGAAGG
Molecule: ribosomal RNA, 382 nt
Filed under: uncultured bacterium
Lineage: Bacteria
Description: bacterial SSU rRNA
Rfam family: Bacterial small subunit ribosomal RNA
Source: RNAcentral